GAUGAAGAACGCAGCGAAAUGCGAUAAGUAAUGUGAAUUGCAGAAUUCAGUGAAUCAUCGGAUCUUUGAACGCACCUUGCGCCUUUUGGUAUUCCGAAAGGCACACCUGUUUGAGCGUCAUGAAUACCUCAAUCUCCAUCUUUUCUUCGGAUUGAUGGGUGACUUGGAUGUUGAGCCCUGCUGGUAUGCUAUAUCAGCUGGCUUUAAACUUAUUAGCCGGCUCUGUACUGGAUCGGUUUGACUCGACGUGAUAAUAUUAUCGUUGAGGAUGCAUGUCUCAUGCAGCCGGAAAGUAUCAAAGCAGCUUCUAGCUUGCCUUUAGUGCACUUUUACAUUUUAGACCUCAGAUCAGGUGGGACUACCCGCUGAACUUAAGCAUAUCAAUAAGCGGAGGA
This 395-nucleotide unclassified non-coding RNA is filed under the name soil metagenome. Its description in RNAcentral is "partial contains 5.8S ribosomal RNA, internal transcribed spacer 2, and large subunit ribosomal RNA". The stretch from base 1 to 120 matches the Rfam family "5.8S ribosomal RNA", at positions 35 to 154 of the family's 154-position model. The record is from RNAcentral.